UAGAUUUCUUCAGAAAAGAAAGAUUAACUUCCUACUCUCCGCUGCUAAUUACCAAGAUCAGUCGCCUUGCUAAUUGCUCCCUGCUGUAUCUGAAACUCUCGAGUAGGUUUGGAAUUUGGACCUUGAAGGACACACAAAGCAGCAGCCGCAACAGCAAAAUUCUGUUCAUAUACAUAUUCUCUAGCCAGCAGGAAACGCCGCUGCCCCAGCCUGCCUGGCUGCCCACGAAUCCGCAAAACCCUAAAUCCUGACUCAGUCUCUCCAAUCCCACCCAAAAUUUGGGCAUUUGGCGGCGGCUCUCCCUCCAAUCCCACUCUCGCCGCGCGCAGCCGCUCGCUCUGCUCGCCACUCGCCUGCUGCUCGCCGCUCCGCGCCCUCUGCUCGGCCGCGCUCGCCUGCUCGCCGCUCCUCUGCUCGGCCGCGCUCGCCUGCUCGUCGCUCGCCACUCACCUGCUCGGCCGCCACUCACCUGGAGGCUUGGACUGUUUUGAUUACGAUGGAAUGAUGCAAUGUACGUGACAAGGGAAAAGAGUUAUGUAUUGGUGAAUCACCAUCUGCUGCAGCCAGCCUGUGAAUGAGUGGUUAUUACCGAUGCUAACGCUUUCUAGCAUUAGAUUAGCACUAUUGAGUUCUCACAUUCAAACUGGAAGUAGAAAUUUUAGUUCUCUAGUGAAAAGUUAUUUAUUGUUUUAGAUUAGCACUUUGUUUAUUGUUUUGCGUUAUUUAUUUUUAUAUUACUAGGAACUCGCAAACAACUGCAAGGUUCUAUUGAUGACCCAUGGAGUCAUAGUGAUAAGCGGAAGAAACAGGGAUUCAAGUGUGCUUAUUGCGGGUGUGCUAAGGAGAGUGGAGGUAAGACCCGUCUAAGGUGUCAUCUAGCUGAUUUGUCAGGAGAAGACAAGUCAUGCCUGAAUGUACCAAAGCGUGUGAGGAAGAUAAUGUUGAAUGACUAUGCAAGAGGGAAAAAGGAGGGCGGAUUAUAAAGAGCAUAAACUCUUUGUGUAUAAGGCGAUUAUGGAUCUAGCAUAUAGUGAUGCUAGAAGAGAAAAAAUACCUAGGGAUGAAGCUGAAUAAAUGGCGUGGGCAAUAAGGGAAUCAUUGUUGGAUCAAAGGGCAUCUGACAAUAGUUCACCUGUAGGCAGAAGUAGCACUGGGACAAGCAAUACCACCCCACCAUUAGCUGCAGGCUCUCGUAGGCAGAGUAGGAUGGAUAGGUACUAUCGGAGUCUAAGUGUAACUCAGGACAUAUGUGAUAUAGAUUUGCAAUGCAGUAAGAUGUCAACACAACCUAAAAUAGACAUUAUGCCAUAUGGGGGUGCCAAAGAGAGACUUGGUAAAACUUGGGCGAAAUGGUUCUAUGCCAAUGAUAUUCCUGGAAGGAAAGCAGACUGUCCAUAUUUUGUAGCAGCAGUAAAACUAUAAAACUAUCUCAGCAGCUUGGGGAAAGAGUGACUGCUCCAAGGGGAAGAGAUAUAGAUGGGUCAUUACUAAAUAUGAACUAUGAGGACCUACAAACUCACAUAGACCGAUACAAGGAAGAUUGAUGUUGCUUUGGGGUCACUAUUAUGUGUUCUUGGACAGGGCCAAACAUGAUGUGCAUUAUUAAUUUUAUGAUUUGUUGCAAUGGUCGCAUGUUCUUUCAUAAAACCGUGGAUGCAACUGGUCAAAUACAAAAUGCAGAAUUUUUUUAUGAUUGCAUUAAUGAAGUUGUUGUUAAAGAUGUUGGAGAAAGUUAUGUUGUUCAAAUUGUGACUGAUAAUGGUUCCAAUUACAAUAAAGCAUGCAAACAACUUAUAGCCGAGUAUCCACAUAUUACUUGGCAGAUAUGUGCUGCUCACACUAUUAAUUUAAUGUUGAAGGACAUAGCACGCUAUGAUGAGGUUGAUGAACAAUUGUAUAGUACUAAGCGGAUAUGCAGAUUUUUGUACAAGCAUAAUAGAUAAUAUUUAUAUUGUGGAAUUCUUGUACAAGCAUAAUAGUUAAUAUUUUUAUAGUUAAUCUGAUGAUAUUCUAAUAUUAAUCUUAUGUUAUUCUGAUUUUUCAGUAUGCAUGCUAUGAUGAAAGAGAAGAUAGGUGGAGAGCUUGUUAGAUGGAAUGCCAUGAGGUUUGGCACACUUUUUUUGUUCUUACAGAGUUUUUGGGACAGACAAGACAAGUUCGAAGCUUAGAUGAUGUCUAACGAUUGGAAAAAUAAUGAUUGAAGAGAUAAGGAAGACCACAAAAAUAACGACUAUCCUAUCUAUUAAACAAUCGUAGGUGAAUUUAUGGUCUUCCUCAUCUCUCCUAUCAUUAUUUUUCAAUCGCUAGACACCAUCCAAGUUUCGAACUUGUCUUGUCUGUCCCAAAAACUCUGUAGGAACAAAAAAAUGUGUCAAACCUUGUGUUAUUUCAUCUAACAAGCUCUCCACCUAUCUUCUCUUUCAUCAUAGCAUAAAGUUUGAAAAAAAAUCAGAAUAUCAUCAGAUUAACUAUAGAAAUAUUAACUAUUAUGCUUGUACAAGAAUUUCACAAUAUAAAUAUUACCUAUUAUGCUUGUACAAAAAUCUGCAUAUCCGCUUAGCACUAUACAAUAGUUCAUCAACCUCAUCACAACGUGCUAUGUCCUUCAAUAUUAAAUUAAUAGUGUGAGCGGCACAUGCCUGCCAAGUAAUAUGUGGAUACUCGGCUAUAAGUUGCUUGCAUGCUUUCUUGUAAUUGGAACCAUUAUCGUUCACAAUUUGAACAACACAACUCUAUCCAACAUCUUUAACAACUUCCUUAAUGCAAUCAUAAAUAAAUUCUGCAUUUUGUAUUUGACCAGUUGCAUCCACGGUUUUAUGAAAAAACAUGCGACCAUUGCAACAAAUCAUAAAAUUAAUAAUGCACAUCAUGGUUGGCCCUGUCCAUGAAUCACACAUAAUAGUGACCCUAAAGCAACCUCAAUCUUCCUUUUAUCGGUCCAUGCGAGUUUGUAGGUCCUCAUAGUUCAUAUUUAGUAAUGACCCAUCUAUAUCUCUUCCCCUUGGAACAGGCACUCCUUCCCCAAGCUGCUGAGAUAGUUUUACUGCUGCUAUAAAAUAUGGACAGUCUGCUUUGCUUCCAGGAAUAUCAUUGGCAUGGAACCAUUUUGCCUAAGUUUUACCAAGUCUCUCUUUGGCACCCCCAUGUAGCAUAAUGUCUAUCCUAGGUUGUGUUGACAUCUUACUGCAUUGCAAAUCUAUAUCACAUAUGUUCUGAGUCACACUUGGACUCCGAUAGUACCUAUACAUCCUACUCUGACUACGAGAGCCUGUAGCUAAUGGUGGGGUGGUAUUGCUUGUCCCAGUGCUACUUCUGCCUACAGGUGGGCUAUUGCUAGAUGUCUUUUGAUCCAACAAUGAUUCCCUUAGUGCCCACGCCAUCUGUCCAGCUUCAUCCCUAGGUAUUUGUUCUCUUCUAGCAUCACUAUAUGCUAAAUCUAUAAUUGCCUUAUCCACAAAGAGUUUAUGCUCUUUAUAAUCUGCCCUCCUUUUUUCCCUCUUGCAUAGUCAUUCAAAAUUACCCCCCUCACACGCUUUGGUACUUUCAGGCAUGACUUGUCAUCUCCUGACAAACCAGCUAGAUGACACCUUAGACGGGUCUUACCUUCACUCUCCUUAGCACACCCGCAAUAAGCACACUUGAAUCCCUGUUUCUUCCACUUCUCACCAUGACUCCAUGAGUCAUCAAUAGAACCUUGUAGUUGUUUGCGAGUUCCUAGUAAUAUAAAAAUAAAUGACGCAAAACAAUAAACAAAGUGCUAAUCUAAAAAAUGACUUUCCACUAGAGAAUUAAAAUUUAUACUUCCAGUUUGCAUGUGAGAACUCAAUAGUGCUAAUCUAAUGCUAGAAAGCGUUACCAUCGGUAGUAACCACUCAUUCACGGGCAGAUGAUGAUUCACCAAUACAUGGCUGUUUUCCCUUGUCCCGUACACUGCCUCCUUCCAUCACAAUCAAAACUGCAAACAAGGCAUUUCCAUCACAACCAAAACUCAAACACCUGCAUAUCAAUGGCACAUCCUUCAUAUCCUCUCUUACAUGCCAAAAGGUCUCAAUUUUAUUGAGCACACAAUCAAUAUUGGUUGGAAAGAGUAAGGAUAUGUUUUCAAUGUCAAUUUGUGGUUCUUAAGGGCUAGUUUAACAACUCCAUUUUCCGAAGGGAAAAUGAACUAAUUUCCAUUGGGAAAAUGGAAAUUCCUUAGAAAAAUGACGUUGCCAAACUAGCCCUAGUUCUUAACCCAUUUUCUUGUUUCUUAUUAUGAUAUGAUUCUUGGAUUCCAUAUGCAGGCAUCAAAGAGCUCGACCUAUCAUUGUAGAUCCAGCACUGCAGGUCCCAAAUAAAACUGAGGUUGUAACGACAAAGGAGAAAAGGAGUUCAUCUUGGGUGAUGCUUAGUCGAUCGUUCCUGGAGUUUUGCUUGCGAUGGGACAACCUUCCUCGCACACUACUGAUGUAUUUCACCAACUUCCUCUCAUCCUCAGAGGGCUACUUCCACACAGUGAUCUGCAACUCAGAGCACUACCAGAACACCACUGUCAACAGUGACCUGCGGUUCAUGGCCUGGGAUAAGCCCCCUCUGACGCACCCUGUUAACCUCACAACAGAGCAUUUUGAUGCGAUGGCAAACAACGGGGCGCCAUUUGCACACUCUUUCGCCAAUGACAAUUCAGUCCUGGAUAUGAUUGACGCCAAGUUGUUGGGCCGGGCACCUGGCCGCUUCACCCCGGGUGGAUGGUGUUUGGGUAGCUCAGUAGGCGGGAAAGAUCCGUGCACCUUCUUGGGAAGAUCCUUUAUUCUCAGGCCGACCAAAGGUUCGGCCAAGCUAGAGAAGUUGUUGAAACUUUUGGAACCUGAUAACUUCAGGCCUAAACAAUGUAAAUAGGACUCAUUUUGCAUGUAGCAUUUUGUGGGUACUGUUCAGAAGCCAAAGUUUGACGAAAUCUUUCUAGUUAUUGCGGCAGUUAGGCAUACAUACAAGUGUGUUGUUGUAUACUUGCAUCUGGAAAGCUUAUCUCAAAAGUGAUUUGAGACCAUA
Molecule: RNA transcript, 5031 nt
Organism: Zea mays
Lineage: Eukaryota; Viridiplantae; Streptophyta; Magnoliopsida; Poales; Poaceae
Gene name: beta-glucuronosyltransferase GlcAT14A
Exons: 4
Source: RefSeq, a predicted model, not a curated record